Molecule: ribosomal RNA, 462 nt
Filed under: uncultured eukaryote
Lineage: Eukaryota
Description: SSU rRNA
Rfam family: Eukaryotic small subunit ribosomal RNA
Source: RNAcentral
CUUACUACUGGUAACUGGGAAUUCUAGAGCUAAUACAUGCCGAGACAGCCCCAUUCUUUAUUGUAGGGUGCAUUUAUUAAUAAAAACCAAUGGCCUCCGGGUCCGUUGGCGAUUCAUAAUAACUUUUCAAAUCGAUGGCCUUGUGCUGACGAUGCUUCAUUCAAAUAUCUGCCCUAUCAACUUUCGAUGGAGGAUAGAGGCCUACCAUGGUGAUGACGGGUAACGGGGAAUAAGGUUCGAUUCCGGAGAGAGGGCUGAGAAACGGCCCUCAAAUCUAAGGUUGCAGCAGGCGCGCAAAUUACCCAAUCCUGACAUGGGGAGGAUGACAAUAAAUAACAAUGAGGGUCUUUAGGGCUUACAAUUGGAAUGAUACAAUUUAAAUCUCUUAACAGGACAUUGGAGGGAAUCUGGGCACACCCGGAUUCCACUCCAUACUAAUUAAAUUGUGACUUAAAAGUCUAU